Molecule: small RNA, 80 nt
Filed under: Kordia periserrulae
Lineage: Bacteria; Pseudomonadati; Bacteroidota; Flavobacteriia; Flavobacteriales; Flavobacteriaceae
Description: Flavo-1 RNA
Rfam family: Flavo-1 RNA
Source: RNAcentral
UAUUAGCCCUGAUUGCAGUGGCAUCCUUUUUUUGCUUUGAUAAGUGGCAAAAAAAGAUACAACGGAAAGCAGGAAAUAGC